RNAcentral lists this unclassified non-coding RNA (4882 nucleotides) under Ixodes scapularis (black-legged tick). RNAcentral describes it as "protein krueppel, transcript variant X1". The record is from RNAcentral. Lineage: Eukaryota; Metazoa; Arthropoda; Arachnida; Ixodida; Ixodidae.
UGAACAUUUUUGUUUUUCAAGUAGUUUUGCGGUUGUGGAUGCAUGCCUCCUUGUACAGUGGGCCUUUCCGUUUACAAACUGUUACGUUCUAACUGCAGCCACUGUCCAAGGCAGUCACCGGGCUUCGCUCUUCACAUGCCCGGCUGAGCCGUGCAGUCUUUGGAGUGCGCUCUGGACCCGGAGAAACGCUCCUGUCUUGUGCAGCCGAGUGUUUAGAUGGGUGUGCGGCCCUUCGGAAAGCUGUGUUUGCAGGUGCGAUUGUGGAACAAGUGUGUUUCCAAAGGCCACGCGCUCCUAGCUUCGACACCAUACGCUUCUCGAAAUGAUCUCUUUCUACUGUAACAAAGUGAGAAGUAUUUCCGACAGAUCUUCGGGCUCUACGAAGUAACAGGUUCAUCGAGAGAGGACGACUACAACGUUUGCUGCCACAUAAGCCGGACGUGACUGUGGAUGUGUGAGGCUGUACCCACUCUGCAACACUUGGUUUGGUCUUGAAGUAUCCCAGGUCUACCACUGCCAUCCACAAGCUAAGGCUGCUACACCGGGACGCAAUUUUCACAUCGGUAAGAACACGUCGACAUGGUGAGUGGAUCGCCGGUUUCACCAUCGGCCUUUCUUGCACGGUGCUUGCAACAUAAAGCCAGCUUACAGUACGCUUCAUUGUAACUCGGCAAAGGGCCAAUUCGACAGCCUCCGUAAGCCAGUUAAACUUGUUGUUUGGCUGGUUGGUGCAUGAUGCUCAGGGAAGCUGUGAGCAUAAACGGGGGCGGACGAAGAAAGGGACACCCAUCCAUGUCCCCUUUGCGUCUGUCUCUCUUUGCACUUACAAGUUUCCUAAGCCAAUUAGAAUGACGGAGCAAAGUGUGUGGCAGUCGUGAGAUGGUAUAUACAAGGUGUAUUAAUUCCUAACUUCGUCAUCUGCAAAUAAAGCCUUUGACAAGUUUGUUGGUUUUACAGGACGAUAAUUAUGCCUCGAAAUUUUGCAAACUAUAAUUGACCACCUUGUUGCACAUUCGUUGAAAGUAUAAGCUUUCUAUCUGCAGGCGCCAAUGUUUACGACUUGUUUAACAGCGUAAGGUCUAUGUGGCCACUUAUAUAGUAUGCACCCACUGUAAAAUUUGUAAUCAAAAUUCAGCCCAAAAUAUAAAGUUAUUCGUAGGUAAUCUUCACCGAGUCUGCACCUGGUGUGUAGACUGCACCUGGUCUGUAGCCUGCAAAUAAUUUUCAGGCUCAGUGCACCUUGCCAAAUGUCUGCUAUUGCAUUAUACAGAAAUCGUCAUUGACACAAUCUUUUCUCAAAGCCCGUCCUGUCUUGUCCUAAUGAACGUUCUUGAAAAAAACAAGCCCUUGUCUAGUCCGCACCUCUAUAUAGCCUGCACCAUGGAAAAUUUCAACCUUUAAACGCAAAAGCUUUGUAAAUUAUAAUCCAUUUUUUUUAGCAGUAGUUUUUUUGGGCAGUGUUUAUACAGCUUUUUGAAAUUCUUGAAUACCCAGGAUUUUGAUAAAAGCCUUUCAAGGGCCCUUAUAUUUUCUUGAAAGUUUCAAUGCUUCUUGUAUUCCUUGAAAUUUGGGAAAUUAACAUGUUUUUGCAACGGUCUGAGAAGUUCAGUGAUGGGAAGCGUAUGCAGAGACUCCGAAGUGCAGGCGGUCAGAUAACAUUACCAAAAAUAAAAUAAAAAAGAGUCGGGUGCUUUCUCUGGAAAUGAUGUUGAUUUACAUGGAAGGGGAUACACUUCACUGCUCUUCACUCAUCCAAGCCAUGGCAAUGCAUGUAGUGGUGCACAACAUUAUUGCGGGAGAAAAGCGGUCACCUUGGCAACCGACAUGGAGGAACACUUUUUUUGCCGCUAGAUGCAUCACGGUCAGAUUUUGGCCACGGAAAAACAUGUAGUCUUUUCUACCAGAUGUGCUUGCUCCAUGCACGGGAAACACAUGUGACAACUUUAAUCGGGCUAGGAUCGUAUCUGACAGUUCACGUCGCGAAGCCGCCCACAUUCGCGGAAAUCGUUGUCAUGAUUGCGUCAUGCAGCCUGCACUUGUUUUAAAGUCCGAGGCAUCCCGUGUCAUCGCCCCUUUUGCUCUGUGUUGCCUCAAAUUCUUUUUCUUCCAAUUCCCUUGAAAUCCUCAAAAGGUCCUUGAAUUCUGUAUAAAAAAUUCUGGCCAAACCUUGCAAAGUGAAAUAAGUUGUUUCAUCCACCUUCAAAUCUAUCAAAAAUGUAAUGCAGAUGAAGUGCUUUUAGUGUUGACGGGUAUUGUAUGUCAUUUAAAAGAAACAUUCCUCAAGCAUGCUUGCUAAAGAGCUGCGAGGCUUGUUUCAACAAAUGAAAGACGCUGAUGAUCUUUUUCUUUCAGCCGAUUCGAAGAGGGAGGCAGAAAUGGUCCGCAUAUCCUGGCGUGUCACCACACCGCAUUGCUCAGCUGUGGUGUUGUGCAGCCUGCUUUGCAGACGUCAAGCCUUCCGUGCGCAUGUGAAGAAAAACCAGCACAAUGCAGCCACAAGCAUUCCAGAAGUCAUGAUUCUUUCACUCGGCUUCUUUUUGUUAAAAGUGAUUGGCCACUUGUGCUACAUGAACCACCAAAAUCUUGUUGUCUUAAUAUUUAAUUUUUCUCCCUUCUAUCUCUUUUUUAAUCUACUUUUUCCCUUUUUCAAUUUGAAUAUGCAUGCUUGGUAUUGCAUUUAGCACAUUUUUUUAUCUGUGCAUUGAUAAGCAGUACACUUGAGACCAGUUUUUUGGUGUAAAUUGAUUGAUUAUAUUCUGGCUAGUUUACAAUUGUGGUUACAUUUCUAUGUUAUGGGACUUAAGGUUAACAGCAUUUUGUUGUGGAUGACUGAUCAGUGCCAUCUCUUGUGUUCAUAAGCAUGCACGUGAAGUUUGUUGCGAUCUUGUACUGUUUCCAUGUUUAACUAUACCUUUGCUGGUGUCUCGUAAAAUGCCCACCCAGUGUUGUGGGCACACUGCAGUCGCAGGACUGCAUACUUUCCUAGCUCUCACACCCUUUGUAGUUUGUUAUGUAUGUUUUAUGAUUUGUAAACAUCUUAGAAAGGCACAGAAGUGGAUCUUGAGAUUGUCUUUUUAUAAUGUGAAACCAACCUAUGCCCCCCAGGCGUGUUAAAAAAAAAAAAAUUACAGUGAUGUGUGACCUUUUUCCCUAUCAAAAAUGCUGCCAAACAUCCUGACACGCCCCUUUUCUGGGAUAUAUCUCGGAAAAGGGGCGUGCCACAAUGUUUGGUCGUGUUUUUAAUGAAGAAAGGCCACACAUGAUUGUAUUUUGGGGUUUUCUAAGAUGCUUAGGGCACAUAGAUUCAGUUUACACAAUAAAACAACAAACCCAAAAUCGAGCAGCUGCACAGCAGUGCAGGCGGUUCUAAGCAGUAACGACCAGCUUAAGAACCAGUUGUAGCGAGAGUCACCGUAUGGGUUCCCAGAGUAACGAAACUCCGAAGCUGAAACCGAAACCGUGGCACCGCCAUCUUGUGUCCACGCGUCGACGGGGAUUACCAAAUCGCAAGAGCAUCACUUGUGCGAAAUCGAACACAUUUGACGCCUGUUCGACUGCGAGGCAAUGAGGGAUACGCGGAAUGACCCCAGCUGUAAUCGGCACUCACCUCACAAAGCUUGCUUGUUGCAGUGGGCUCGAAAUCUUUCCGUUUUACUAUGGUCAGCCAAGCCUUCUUCCUCUCCAUCUUGUAGUUGCAUCCUUUCCAAACGGUAUCCGGAAAAGUCUCUUUCCAUCCUCCAACCUGCUGCUGCACCCAAAAGCGCAACAAGCAGGCAUUGUGUCGCAAGUAUACAACCUCCUUGCUUUUGACGUCAGUAACCGCAUAGAAAAGUCUGCGCAUAAAUGCGCGUUCGAUGAGCAGCAGAGCGUGCGUGAGUGCAGUUGUUUACUGGGCCCAAGAUGAUCGCGAUCUGAGCCGCUUGAAGCACUGAUGGAGGUGAGCCUAGCGGUGCUUGUGUCAGUGAAUGCUACUGUCCAGUGACGUUCAACAAGCCAAAACACGAUCGGCUAGAGUGAGUAUGUUGUCGGCAAAACGCAAAAAGAAAAGGAAUGCAAUACUCUGGGACUUUACAGUGACUUUAGUUGUAGCGUUGUCGGUUGCAGUCAAACGCAACUAUGUGGACUGGCCUUUGCUUAAUUUCUCUACGAGAUGUCAUUUUGUGGACACUUUUUACGAAGUGACACUUUUUUCCACGUUUUGUACCUGGGGGUGAGGGGGAUAAUUGGGUUCGUUAAAAAUAUAUUAACUACCCUGGCACAAGUUAAUAUGGGCCUGAGGUUUUGAAAAUUUGUUAUAUUUUCAAAUAUUUAGAAUUCGGUCUAAAAUAUAUGCGAUCCCGGCCUACCGGCUAAAUCAUUAAGAACGCGGACAGUCAGUCGGCCAACCACUGGCAGGCAUAUUUCUACUCCAUGUUUAUUUUUGUUGCGCACAUUUGUGGUGCAUUCAGUAUUGGCGUGCUAUUGAGUGUGGGUCAAAGUGUUUAAAAGGGCUGGCUCUCGUAAGAAAAGGAAAAGUCGUUUCACCAUCUGCGGCAGUGGCGUCAGUCGAGCUUUCCACUUAGGAUGACGCUUGGGCGUGCGUCGCCAAAGUGCGACGAAAGACAACGAGCUUGCGCUGCUGGCAGUGCUUCUCUUGCAGAUAUUGCAUUGCAGCAGACUAGAAUUUUUGCAGUGCAGUUGGGGGAAAAGCGAUAGUGCUUCAAGGCGGAGAGAGUCCCUCUCAUUUGGGCGUCCUCUUGCGCCGCCUUUAACUUAUUUUCGGCGUCUGCUUCCUCACGCGCAGCAGAGCUUGAGGAGAUCACCCCGGACCUGAGCCACCGGUGCGUCGACUGCGGCUGCCUGUUCUCAACGCGGGCCUAUCUGCAGGGCCACUGGAAGCGAA